Molecule: ribosomal RNA, 475 nt
Filed under: uncultured organism
Description: partial 16S ribosomal RNA
Rfam family: Bacterial small subunit ribosomal RNA
Source: RNAcentral
ACACUCCUGCGGGAGGCAGCAGUGGGGAAUAUUGCACAAUGGGCGCAAGCCUGAUGCAGCCAUGCCGCGUGUGUGAAGAAGGCCUUCGGGUUGUAAAGCACUUUCAGCGGGGAGGAAGGCGAUACGGUUAAUAACCGUGUUGAUUGACGUUACCCGCAGAAGAAGCACCGGCUAACUCCGUGCCAGCAGCCGCGGUAAUACGGAGGGUGCAAGCGUUAAUCGGAAUUACUGGGCGUAAAGCGCACGCAGGCGGUCUGUCAAGUCGGAUGUGAAAUCCCCGGGCUCAACCUGGGAACUGCAUUCGAAACUGGCAGGCUUGAGUCUUGUAGAGGGGGGUAGAAUUCCAGGUGUAGCGGUGAAAUGCGUAGAGAUCUGGAGGAAUACCGGUGGCGAAGGCGGCCCCCUGGACAAAGACUGACGCUCAGGUGCGAAAGCGUGGGGAGCAAACAGGAUUAGAAACCCUUGUAGUCCCAUG